UUUUGAGCAAUGGGGGGACGCAGGAGGAUAGGGUAAGCGCGGUAUUGGAUAUCCGCGUCCAAGCAGUUAGGCUGGGAAAUAGGCAAAUCCGUUUCCCAUAAGGCUGAGCUGUGAUGGCGAGCGAAAUAUAGUAGCGAAGUUCCUGAUUCCACACUGCCAAGAAAAGCCUCUAGCGAGGUGAGAGGUGCCCGUACCGCAAACCGACACAGGUAGGCGAGGAGAGAAUCCUAAGGUGAUCGAGAGAACUCUCGUUAAGGAACUCGGCAAAAUGACCCCGUAACUUCGGGAGAAGGGGUGCUCUGUUAGGGUGCAAGCCCGAGAGAGCCGCAGUGAAUAGGCCCAGGCGACUGUUUAGCAAAAACACAGGUCUCUGCGAAGCCGUAAGGCGAAGUAUAGGGGCUGACGCCUGCCCGGUGCUGGAAGGUUAAGAGGAGCGCUUAGCGUAAGCGAAGGUGCGAAUUGAAGCCCCAGUAAACGGCGGCCGUAACGAUAACGGUCCUAAGGUAGCGAAAUUCCUUGUCGGGUAAGUUCCGACCCGCACGAAAGGCGCAACGAUCUGGGCACUGUCUCAACGAGAGACUCGGUGAAAUUAUAGUACCUGUGAAGAUGCAGGUUACCCGCGACAGGACGGAAAGACCCCGUGGAGCUUUACUGCAGCCUGAUAUUGAAUGUUGGUACAGCUUGUACAGGAUAGGUAGGAGCCUUGGAAACCGGAGCGCCAGCUUCGGUGGAGGCAUCGGUGGGAUACUACCCUGGCUGUAUUGACCUUAUAACCCGCCGCCCUUAUCGGGCGGGGAGACAGUGUCAGGUGGGCAGUUUGACUGGGGCGGUCGCCUCCUAAAAGGUAACGGAGGCGCCCAAAGGUUCCCUCAGAAUGGUUGGAAAUCAUUCGCAGAGUGUAAAGGCACAAGGGAGCUUGACUGCGAGACCUACAAGUCGAGCAGGGACGAAAGUCGGGCUUAGUGAUCCGGUGGUUCCGCAUGGAAGGGCCAUCGCUCAACGGAUAAAGGCUACCCCGGGGAUAACAGGCUUAUCUCCCCCAAGAGUCCGCAUCGACGGGGAGGUUUGGCACCUCGAUGUCGGCUCAUCGCAUCCUGGGGCUGUAGUCGGUCCCAAGGGUUGGGCUGUUCGCCCAUUAAAGCGGUACGCGAGCUGGGUUCAGAACGUCGUGAGACAGUUCGGUCCCUAUCCGUCGCGGGCGCAGGAAAUUUGAGAGGAGCUGUCCUUAGUACGAGAGGACCGGGAUGGACGCACCGCUGGUGUACCAGUUGUUCUGCCAAGGGCAUCGCUGGGUAGCUAUGUGCGGACGGGAUAAGUGCUGAAAGCAUCUAAGCAUGAAGCCCCCCUCAAGAUGAGAUUUCCCAUUCCGCAAGGAAGUAAGAUCCCUGAAAGAUGAUCAGGUUGAUGGGUCUGAGGUGGAAGUGUGGCGACACAUGGAGCUGACAGAUACUAUCGAUCGAGGACUUAA
Molecule: ribosomal RNA, 1468 nt
Filed under: metagenome
Description: bacterial LSU rRNA
Rfam family: Bacterial large subunit ribosomal RNA
Source: RNAcentral